This 82-nucleotide transfer RNA is filed under the name Curtobacterium sp. MCLR17_034. RNAcentral's name for it is "tRNA-Thr". The record is from RNAcentral. Lineage: Bacteria; Bacillati; Actinomycetota; Actinomycetes; Micrococcales; Microbacteriaceae.
GACUCCAUGCAACACCAUGUGGUGGUAAUUCACCGUACUUGUAAUACGGGGGUUGCGGGUUCAAGUCCCGCUGCCGGCCCCA